Molecule: ribosomal RNA, 254 nt
Filed under: uncultured bacterium
Lineage: Bacteria
Description: partial 16S ribosomal RNA
Rfam family: Bacterial small subunit ribosomal RNA
Source: RNAcentral
UACAGGGGGUGCAAACGUUGCUCGGAAUCAUUGGGCGUAAAGCGCACGUAGGCGGUUCGUUAUGUCGGAUGUGAAAGCCCUUGGCUUAACCGAGGAAGUGCAUCCGAAACUGGCGAGCUAGAGUACGAAAGAGGAUCGCGGAAUUCCCGGUGUAGAGGUGAAAUUCGUAGAUAUCGAGAGGAACACCGGUGGCGAAGGCGGCCAACUGGACGAAUACUGACGGUGAGAACACGAAAGCGUGGGGAGCAAACAGG